AUUGAACGCUGGCGGCAGGCUUAACACAUGCAAGUCGAGCGAGCGGCGGACGGGUGAGUAAUGUAUGGGGACUGCCCCAUAUAGGGGGAUAACUCCUGGAAAAGGUAGCUAAUAACGCAUACUAUCGGAUAACCCAUAUGGGAUUAGCUAGUUGGUGAGGUAAUGGCUCACCACGGCGACGAUCCCUAGCUGGUCUGAGAGGAUGAUCAGCCACACUGGGACUUAGACACGGCCCAGACUCCUACGGAGGCAGCAGUGGGGAAUAUUGCACAAUGGGGGCAAGCCUGAUGCAGCCAUGCCGCGUGUAUGAAGAAGGCCCUAGGGUUGUAAAGUACUUUCAGUCGGGAGGCGUUACCGACAGAAGAAGCACCGGCUAACUCCGUGCAAGCAGCCGCGGUAAUUC
Molecule: ribosomal RNA, 403 nt
Filed under: uncultured bacterium
Lineage: Bacteria
Description: partial 16S ribosomal RNA
Rfam family: Bacterial small subunit ribosomal RNA
Source: RNAcentral